GGAAUUUUGGACAAUGGGCGCAAGCCUGAUCCAGCAAUGCCGCGUGAGUGAAGAAGGCCUUCGGGUUGUAAAGCUCUUUUGUCAGGGAAGAAACGGUGCUUUCUAAUACAGAGCGCUAAUGACGGUACCUGAAGAAUAAGCACCGGCUAACUACGUGCCAGCAGCCGCGGUAAUACGUAGGGUGCAAGCGUUAAUCGGAAUUACUGGGCGUAAAGCGUGCGCAGGCGGUUUUGUAAGACUGUCGUGAAAUCCCCGGGCUCAACCUGGGAAUGGCGAUGGUGACUGCAAGGCUAGAGUUUGGCAGAGGGGGGUAGAAUUCCACGUGUAGCAGUGAAAUGCGUAGAUAUGUGGAGGAACACCGAUGGCGAAGGCAGCCCCCUGGGUCAAAACUGACGCUCAUGCACGAAAGCGUGGGGAGCAAACAGGAUUAGAUACCCUUG
RNAcentral lists this ribosomal RNA (440 nucleotides) under uncultured Duganella sp. RNAcentral describes it as "bacterial SSU rRNA". It matches the Rfam family "Bacterial small subunit ribosomal RNA", at positions 358 to 790 of the family's 1533-position model. Lineage: Bacteria; Pseudomonadati; Pseudomonadota; Betaproteobacteria; Burkholderiales; Oxalobacteraceae. The record is from RNAcentral.